UACGUAGGUGGCGAGCGUUGUCCGGAUUUACUGGGCGUAAAGGGAGCGUAGGCGGACUUUUAAGUGAAAUGUGAAAUACCCGGGCUCAACUUGGGUGCUGCAUUUCAAACUGGAAGUCUAGAGUGCAGGAGAGGAGAAUGGAAUUCCUAGUGUAGCGGUGAAAUGCGUAGAGACUAGGAAGAACACCAGUGGCGAAGGCGAUUCUCUGGACUGUAACUGACGCUGAGGCUCGAAAGCGUGGGGAGCAAACAGGAUUAGAUACCCGGGUAGUCCCU
This 275-nucleotide ribosomal RNA is filed under the name uncultured prokaryote. Its description in RNAcentral is "partial 16S ribosomal RNA". It matches the Rfam family "Bacterial small subunit ribosomal RNA", at positions 524 to 798 of the family's 1533-position model. The record is from RNAcentral.